AAUGUGCUACUGAUUUGGUAUUCAACACAAGUCCAAGUGCCACAGAGAAGAUGUUGGAGCGCACGGAUUAUGAGAAGCAAUGCAUCGAGGCAAAGAAAGCAGGCAAGCCAAAGC
RNAcentral lists this non-coding RNA (114 nucleotides) under Karenia brevis. Lineage: Eukaryota; Dinophyceae; Gymnodiniales; Kareniaceae. The record is from RNAcentral.